This is a long non-coding RNA of Esox lucius (northern pike), 2965 nucleotides long. The record is from Ensembl. Lineage: Eukaryota; Metazoa; Chordata; Actinopteri; Esociformes; Esocidae.
UUGCGCAAUAAAUGGUUUUAAUAUACUUGCAAGGAGAGAGUACGCAGGUUACAAAGUAACAGUGAAUAGUCUCUAAAUAAAACAUCAUUUCGACAGUAUUUAUUACAUAGAAAAAGGGGUGUGGUAAGAUGCUGCCAUCUGUCUCAUGUCAAUCAAACACAUUCCCUUUGUUCAAUCACACAAGUCAAAUGCUAUCUUCCCCCACCUUAUCCUUACUGCCCCCUGUUGUGUAUCUUCCCCUAUCCUGUCCUAAAACCCAUUGAUCUGUAUCUACCCCCAUCCUGCUGGAGCUUCAUGUUUACCUCAACACCUCAUACUUCCUUUCCCACAGCACAACCAACAUUCCUUUUCUCAUUUAAACAGUAGGUCAGUCGUCUAAUCAGUUAGAAUACAUUAUUAAAGACAUUUCCACAACAGCACCCCGUACGGAUUAUCUAAUUACAACUGUCAAAACUGUUAUUCCUGUGAUUCUGACUAAGAUUAUACAAGAUUACAAAUUAUUCACAAACAGAAUAUUCACAAACUGCAUAUAUUGUGGUGUAUCAAGGUCGGGGUAUGUCAAAGGAUCGGACACCGGCAGAUAUCGGGUUGUAUCACGUUGUGUUGAAGGAUCUGAAACAGCAGAUCUGCAGAUCUGAAGUAGCAGAUAUCGGGUUGUAUCAUGUGUUGAAGGAUCUGAAACAGCAGAUAUCGGGUUGUAUCAUGUUGUGUUGAAGGAUCUGAAAUAGCAGAUAUCGGGUUGUAUCAUGUUGUGUUGAAGGAUCUGAAACAGCAGAUAUCGGGUUGUAUCGCGUUGUGUUGAAGGAUCAGAAACAGCAGGUGUCGGGUUGUAUCACGUUGUGUUGAAGGAUCUGAAACAGCAGGUGUCGGGUUGUAUCACGUUGUGUUGAAGGAUCUGAAACAGCAGGUGUCGGGUUGUAUCACGUUGUGUUGAAGGAUCUGAAACAGCAGGUGUCGGGUUGUAUCACGUUGUGUUGAAGGAUCUGAAACAGCAGGUGUCGGGUUGUAUCACGUUGUGUUGAAGGAUCUGACACAUUAUGUAUCUAAGCUGUAUCAAGAUCUAUCCACUGAGUCCGACACAAGGUGGUCCAUUUUUUGGUGUGUCUUAUGUGAUGGUAAUUUCUUAAGUCCAAAUAGUUCUAUGAAAAUGGUAGGUAAGACAGGAGAAAUCAAUUGCACAAUAAACGGUUUAAUAUACUUGCAAGGAGAGAGUACGCAGGUUACAAAGUAACAGUGAAUAGUCUCUAAAGUACAUUCAAUACAUUCAAUACUUACAGAGAAAUGGGUGGGGUUAGGAACCCACAUGGUCGCACCAUAAAACCACAUAUGUUCCUUAUCCUUCCUACCCCCUGUUGUGUAUCUUCCCCUAUCCUGUCCUAAAACCCAUUGAUCUGCAUCUACCCCCGUCCUGCUGGAGCUUCAUGUUUACCUCAACACCUCAUACUUCCUUUCCCACAGCACAACCAACAUUCCUUUUCUCAUCUAAACAGUUGCUCAGUCGUUUAAUCAGUUAGAAUACAGUAUUAAAGAAAUUUCCACAACACUUAACAUGUCUAAGUUUUGAAACGGCCACUGUCUGAAAUGGAAAUAUUCCAAUACACAUUGACACACAAUAUGUCUGAAUGUAUCACAAUGUUUCUGAUCUUGAUACAGGGCAAUUUUAUGCAGUGAUGGCAACCAAUGAUGCGCUCUGCUGACUUCACCACCCUGACUUCAUUAUGAGUACAUGUAUAAUACUGUUAGUGUUAAGCAUUAUGGCCUUUAAAUAAAGUGUUACCAAAAAAUCUAUUAGACCUGCUUGACAUAGCAUUAUUACUCUGCAAUCAACAUGGUAUACAUGGGAAGCUUUAUGGAUACAAAGUAAUGCAUCUUAAUAAAUGCAUCCAAGUAGAAUAUGUGACCCAUAUUGAAAAUAAAUAAAAUUGUAAAAGUAGUUUUUUUUAAACAUUUUUGGGAUACAUUUAAAAAUAACAAUAAUUGGUCAAUUAAUGUAUUUAAGAAAAUUAAAUUAAUACAUUUAGAAUACUGUGGAAAAUGUAUUUAUUACUAUGUCCUUAUUUAUUCAUUAUUCUGUUAGGAGGUAUUUUGUAAUCUGUAUGCUUGAAACUUUACGUAUACUAAAAGACUUGUCUUUCUCUGUCUCCAACUUAUAAUGCCAGUAUCUGUGUUCAGGGGCAGUAAUGAGUGGAAUGUCAGGGCCUUGGCUUAUUGUCUACAGAGAGACAGGCCUAGGACCUGUGCAAUAAAACUGACAUAAGAACUGUUCUCUAGGAGGAAGCUCUUAAGCAGCAGUGGGCUUAGAAACAGUUUCUUUACAUCUGCUGUAACCCUGCAGAACUCUGUCCAGGCCCUUUACUAACCACAUCCCCCGCCUCUCAGGGACCUUGUUGCACUACUUCCUUAGUACUACUGGACUCUGACACUGCCUUGCAAAGUGUAAUGAGGAUGUUUUUCAGUUGUUACAGGACAUAUUUAUCUCUGGAACCUAACUGCUGCUAUUCCUGCAUUUCAGUUGCACAUGCACAUUUGCGCCUUCAAUUUACCCUCAUUGCACAUCUAGAAUGCCACUUAGAAUUGCCAUUGUACUUGAAUCUUUCAGUUACAUUGCUGCCAUCUUUUCUUUCCUGUACCAUCCUCAUUCAAUCUGCCUUAAUUGCACAUCUAGAAUGCCAUUUAGAAUUGCCAUUUGUACCCGCACAACAAUUUAUACCACUUGUUACAUACACUAUAUUUAAUAUUUAUAAAUGUUCUGCCCUCCUGUAUUUUGUCUUACUUGCACGUUUAGUAUUGCCAUUCGUACUGCAUUUGCCUUCAUUGCACAUUUAUACAUUCCACUUGUAAUAUACAUACACUUAAUACUUGUACUUUGUACUGUACUUGUACUUGUUCAGUGACAAUAAAGUUGAAUUCUAUCUAAUCAUUUUGUGGAUCCACUAUAUUAAACUUGAAGUAAUCUACUGUUAUA